Pelobates cultripes (western spadefoot toad) is the source of this 217-nucleotide non-coding RNA. The record is from the annotation of a GenBank genome assembly. Lineage: Eukaryota; Metazoa; Chordata; Amphibia; Anura; Pelobatidae.
GUCUUGGAUGAGCCAUGUGGUUUGACUAGAUGUACAAGUCUAUAUUCUGCUCAUUGAUUGGUUAAAGGUAUAUGUGGGUGUAGCUAUUAAUGGGAGGAGUUAUAGUGCUAUAUAAGGAAUGUACACUAUGUGUUGGGCUCUCAGAAUGUUGGAACAGGAGUUCAUCUGAGACCCGAUCGGUAAUGUGAAUAAAGGCCUGUUACUUCCUGAAGACCUG